GAAACAGCCAACCAGCACUCCAUAGUAAAUUCCACAUCAAAACACACCGACCCUGAUCCUUGUAUCGCCUCAAAACUAUACAACAAACAAAACAGUAACACAACUGUUGGCAACGGAUCACUCGGCUCUCGUGUCGAUGAAGAGCGUAGCGAAUUGCAAAAAGUAAUGCGAUCUGCAACCAUCGUGAAUCAUUGAAUUCUUGAACGCACCUGGCACCUUUUGGGUCUUCCAAAAGGUCAGCCUGGGUGAGUAUUGACUUGUUAAUUUCAGGUGAAAACUUGGAUGUGGGCCUAUUUGCUGCCUCGCAGUAAUGGCCUGAAAUGGAUACGCCAGUGGGAAGGUAGUGCUUAUUCUACUCAACCAGACUCUUGCGUUUGCCUCGGAUGUUUUCAAUCGGACCAUGGUCAGGUCUGUUGCUGUGCCUUGCGCGCAGGGAACAUCGGAUACGGCUGCAAUUGACUGGGGAAUUGGCCAGUGCAUCUCGCACGCUUUCCCUUGCUGUUUUCAGCUACAUUUGGCACGACGUUGGCUGCUUCCUCGGAAUCAGUCGGCAUGGUAUGCAGACCCCCGGCUUUUGCCCAACUCUUCACACCAACGACCACCUUUCNUCAUCAAUCUCACCUCAGGCUGGACUACCCGCUGAACUUAAGCAUAUCAAUAAGCGGGA
This 667-nucleotide ribosomal RNA is filed under the name uncultured fungus. Its description in RNAcentral is "eukaryotic LSU rRNA". The stretch from base 102 to 255 matches the Rfam family "5.8S ribosomal RNA". Lineage: Eukaryota; Fungi. The record is from RNAcentral.